Molecule: long non-coding RNA, 741 nt
Filed under: Homo sapiens (human)
Lineage: Eukaryota; Metazoa; Chordata; Mammalia; Primates; Hominidae
Description: HSALNT0245179
Source: RNAcentral
CGCCGAGGAGGGCGGGGGUCUCACGGAAGAGGCCCACCCACCUUGCCCGUGAGGUCGUAGCUCGGACUGCAGGGCGGGGAGCGCUCGGGGGCCUCGCCAUCCCGGGUGGCAACGGCGCCUGGCGUGCCCGUCAUGUCCCUGGACGAGAGGAAAUCGGCCUCAAUUUUCUUGCCAAGCUAGCGGCAAAAUUUGGAGAUCUCACCUCUGUGGUCUGUGGAACUGUGGCACUGCUGCGUCCUGACCCUGAGCGUGAUCUCACAGGCCCUGUGCUCUGGUCUCAGAGGUUCCCAAACAUCCGCGUUGUCCAAGAAGAGAUGUUUGCUCUUCCCCAUCUUGAGAUGCUAGGAUUCUGGAGUCCCAAGGGAAGGCCCUGCUCUUCCUGCCACAGCCCGAGAGAGGAGUGGAACCCUCUCCCAAGGUCUUCCCAGGAAUUCAAGGGCAGCUGCAGCCGCAGGCACGGGACAACGCGGGGAGAUGGGAUGUGUGGUAAAGGAGGGAUCCCUUGUCUCGCAGAGGGGCUGCGGGCAGAAAAAGCCGAGGGCACUGGGCUUCCUUAACCCGAGCUGCCCUUUUACCAUUUUACCGAGGACUAAACACGGAACUGUAACCUGGGCCUGCCAGCUCCCUGAGACCCGUGUGACUGCUAAGUUUGGACUGUGCUGAAAACUUUGUCGUCCCUUUGUCCCUCCAGAUCUUCUUGCCUUGGAGGGCUGACCUGAGCUAUCCCAUAUUAAAAUAUUU